CCCUUAGAUGUUCUGGGCCGCACGCGCGCUACACUGAUUCAUGCAACAAGUUUUGUCCUUGGCUGAUAGGCCUGGGUAAUCUUUGAACGUGAAUCGUGAUGGGGAUAGAUGAUUGCAAUUAUUCAUCUUCAACGAGGAAUUCCUAGUAAACGCAAGUCAUCAGCUUGCAUUGAUUACGUCCCUGCCCUUUGUACACACCGCCCGUCGCACCUACCGAUUGAAUGGUCCGGUGAAAUCUUCGGAUCUGAGAGAUGUCUGAUUAAUUUCGGACGCCUUUUGGAAAAGUUGCUUAAACCUUACCAUUUAGAGGAAGGGGAAGUCGUAACA
RNAcentral lists this ribosomal RNA (327 nucleotides) under uncultured eukaryote. RNAcentral describes it as "partial 18S ribosomal RNA". It matches the Rfam family "Eukaryotic small subunit ribosomal RNA", at positions 1470 to 1796 of the family's 1831-position model. The record is from RNAcentral.